CACCCCCACCUUCCUGGGGCCCACUGGAGAGUCAAUCUAGCAGCGAGUCCAGUCUUGCCUGGGCUGAUCCCUGGAGGCCUAGCCCGUUCAUUCCUCCCCUUAAGGGAGGUGCUUGAGGGUUACCUGGCAGGAGGCAGCAGGCCCCUGGACCCUCCAGGGAGGGGUCAUCCAAGUUGCCCCCAAAGAAGAAAUCUGAGCACCUCCUCCUCCCCAUCCUUCAGAUCCAUGUCUUUUCCCAGGAUGCUCCAGCCCUUCUCCUGGAAACAUUUCAGGUGACCCCCGCCCCCAUGGUGGAGGGCAGAGGAGGGCCUCCCUUACUGCGGGGCUGCCGGCCCUCACAGCAGCCCCCUCCUCAGACAAGCUCUUCUCACCCUCCCAAGGUAUGGCCACAGCUGCCCUAGACAGCCCCAUUCCCCAGCUGCUGCUGCUGCAUAGCCUCCAAAGCCCAGAGCCACCUGCUUCAGCCUGUCCUGCCUUCCAGCUGCUGUUGUCUUCCUGCUCUUUCCCUGAAUGGAAGUCACGCCCUCGGCCUCCUCAGGGUUUGCCAGCCCCUUUUCUCCUCCUUGGGAUCAAAGACUUUCGAGGUCAGUCAGUCCAAUCUCAUUUUACAGAUGAGGAAAUCAAGCCCAGAGAGGGAAAAUUACUUGCUCAAGGUCACACAGGAAAUCAGUAGCAGAAUCAUCAUUGAAAUCCAGGUCUUCUGGCUCCAAAACCAGCAUGAAUUUAAAUCCCACCAGAGACUCAGCAAGACAGUUCCUACCGUCUAUAGAGAGAGCCCUGGCCUGGCCCAGGUCAUCCCAUUUCUCAUAACCAUUUCCAACUGGCAGUAGACCUUUACACCCCUAUGGACAGCACUACCAAUUUCUCCACCUUUUCUCUCCCAACUCACCAAGGGAUGGCAUGGAACCUGAGAUUUUGUAAAAAUCCUCCCCAUGUCCCUAUGGAGAGCCUGCUUGAAUGUCUAUCUGAAACCCAACUCCCAAUUUCAGAAUCUCAGAGCUGGAAGGGAUCCUUUUAGAAAUAGAAUCAAACCAUACCUGGACAAGAACCUCUCUGCCAACUGGAGGCGUUCGUUUGAAGAUCACCAGUGAGGUGGAUUCCACUGCUACCCAAGGCAACGCAUCCAGGUGCUAAAGACACUUCUAAGCAGCUCGUGAAGGAUUUACAACCUCAGACAUCUGCAGCUGCCCCAGAUCAGGCUUCAUUUAUUAUUUGGUUGAUUGUCUAGACUUAAGCACAUGUGUGUAUCUUAUUUUUUUUUAUGACAGGCUGGUUGUAAAACAUUUACCAGCAGUACCCCUGAACCCUUUCCACUGCUGGGUAACUCUGAUGCUUACAAUUAUUUUUUCAGGAAGCCCUAAAUGUGCCUCUUAUCAACUUCCAGCAGUUAUUCCCAGUUCUGGACCCCCCUAAGAUAAAAUAGGACAAAGGUAAUUUCUCUUCCAGGUGACAUUUGUAUCCCCAAUGCUUAGCAUACAGUGACAGCUUCACCAAUGCUUAAUAAAUAGCUGACUCAGAUGGCGAUUCUAAGGCCCUGGAUUCACCAUCUUGGUGACCCUCCUCCCCAUCCCCUGCCCCAAGCUCUGCAGUUUAAUCACAGUCUUUCCUAGUUUGCCUGAAUCUGAGCCCACUAUUCCAGCUGGUGGUCUGAUCAGGGCAGAGUUUGGAAGAAGCAUUUCCUCUCUCCUGGCCCAUGCAGCCUGAGACCACACUGUCCGUUUGAAUGAUGUCUAUUCCACCAGGCAGCUACAGAACAGCUCCCUCUCCCAAGAGAGGAGCGCAGGCUUCAGCUCUUUUGUUUGGAGGCCAGAGCAACAUUUCCCCUCAGAAACCAUCAAUGUCAGUGAGUUAGAUGGGAAAAAGAAAGCAUUUAUUUAAAUGUCCCUCUGGGGAUCCCUUUAAGUCAUCCUGGCUGCAAUUGUACAUAUGAGGUCUGUGAUCUUCCUUGCUUAAAUCAGGGGGCAAUGAAAGCUGUUUUAUAAAUGAAACUGGAGCCCAAAUAUUCAUAGUAGCAUAUCCCUCCCCCCAAAAAAGAAAAACCUGAAAAGUCCAUCGACUGGAGGGAUGACUAUGUUUGACGAAUUAAGUGGAAUCCUAUUGUAAUGUAAAAGAGAAUGAGCUAGGAGGUUCUAAAGAAGUGUGGAAAAAUUUGUGUGGAUGCAGAGCAAAGAAAGUAGAGCCAGAAGAACCAGAUGCCCAAUGACAAUAGGAAUAAAAAUAAUAAUGAAUAGCAGCCAAUGGUGACCAGUCUAAAUCCCAGAGAGCAGAUGAGAGGACACACUUUCUUGGGAGGCAGGGUAGUGCCCUGAAUAAUGCAUUGGGUUCGAAAGCAUAGGGUAAAUGUUCAAAUCUCAGUUCCCACUCAUCCUGCCUGUGUGAUCUUAGACAAGUCUCAUCACUUCCCUAGUCUGGGCCUCAGUUUCCUCAUCUGUAAAAUGAGGGAUGAAGGUCCUUGGUGGGGGGCCACGGGUGCAGAAUGUUGCAUAUGAUGCCAGCUGCUGUCAAUGACUCUCUCCCUUCAGAAGGACAAUUCAGUGCAAGGCAAUAUGGGGCAGAGAGGGUGAUGGCUGUGUUGUUUUCAAAAAGGCAUCAAUAAAACUUUUCCAAAAGAA
This is a non-coding RNA of Phascolarctos cinereus (koala), 2612 nucleotides long. Lineage: Eukaryota; Metazoa; Chordata; Mammalia; Diprotodontia; Phascolarctidae. The record is from RefSeq and is a predicted model, not a curated record.